Long non-coding RNA from Homo sapiens (human), 395 nucleotides. Ensembl annotates it as long intergenic non-protein coding RNA 1378. The record is from Ensembl. Lineage: Eukaryota; Metazoa; Chordata; Mammalia; Primates; Hominidae.
CGAGUAUAAAGAAGAGGAUGAAGGCUUAAGCAGGAAACUUUGACAGCUCCAAAGACCUUAAUCCUUAUAAAGAAGUAAUGAAGUUUCAACUUUGCACUCAGCCCCAGAGAGGAUCUGAAUCUGUGUCUAUUGACAUCUGAUUUCUUCGACAUACAGAAAAAGACUUUUGGAGGAAUAAAAUCCAACAAAAAGAAUGAAAAUUAAAAGGUUUUCAAGAAACCUUUGCAACUUUAACAUAGCAUUUUGAGGAGUAAAAGUGACACCUGGAAAAAGCCAUCCUUGAGAACUAACUCCCCACAAACUGAUCAGAUGUCACAACUGUGAUUUUUCUUCAGAGAGAGCAAAACUAUGGGUUAAGAUGUGUUUGGAAGGCAGAAAUCUGACCAAGAGUCUGU